GAUGAACGCUGGCGGCGUGCCUAAUACAUGCAAGUCGAGCGAACAGGUGAGGAGCUUGUUGCUCGCUCGUGAGCGGAACACGGGUGAGAAACGCGAGGAUAAUGCCCUUAUCUUAGUGGUAUCACCUGGGGACAGCGGCGCAAACACCGGAGAAUAUCUUGCACCACAGUGUGCGUUAGUAAAAGUCGGUUGUGUCGGCGGGAGUAGCUGGAUCCGCGCCUGAUUAGGUAGUUGGUGAGGUAGCAGCUUACGAAGGCUAGGACGCGUAGCCGGCCUGAGAGGGUGACCGGCCACAUUGGGACUGAGAGACGGACCAGACUCCUACGGGAGGCAGAAGUGGGGAAUAUUGCACAAUGGGCGGAAGCCUGAUGCAGCAACGCCGCGUGCGGGAUGACGGCCUUCGGGUUGUAAACCGCUUUCGCCUGUGACGAAGCGUGAGUGACGGUAAUGGGUAAAGAAGCACCGGCUAACUACGUG
Molecule: ribosomal RNA, 477 nt
Filed under: uncultured bacterium
Lineage: Bacteria
Description: partial 16S ribosomal RNA
Rfam family: Bacterial small subunit ribosomal RNA
Source: RNAcentral